This is a long non-coding RNA of Mobula hypostoma (lesser devil ray), 477 nucleotides long. RefSeq lists it as uncharacterized. NCBI's taxonomy places the organism in Eukaryota, Metazoa, Chordata, Chondrichthyes, Myliobatiformes, Myliobatidae. The transcript has 3 exons. The record is from RefSeq and is a predicted model, not a curated record.
AGAAAACACAAGACAAGAAAUGAAAGUAUGAGGCAGGAAGGGACAGCACACUCUGCAAUAAGUACGCAAGCGUAAAGGGAGAACGAGAUAUUGUUACUCUGGAUCUGAUGCAGCAUUAAAAAAACAUAAUAAGGAUGCCGUGCACAAUCCUGAUUUGAUGGAGACAGAUGUGAGAGCACUGAGGAACAUCUGGUGAAACUUCUGAAAUGCCUUCUUCGCUGCCACUGCUACUGUGUGAUCCAGAAUCUCUGGAGGAGAAGGCCCCAAAUCCUUGGCUUUGCUCAUUGCUCGGCGGCCGGGGUGGGGUCAAAGCGCUCGGUAGAGGAUGGUGCUCAGUGCUCGGUGUUGGAGGGCUGGUCGGAGGCUCGAAGUUUUCGGACGGACUCAGAGUCGGCUGUGGUCGGGUGCUUUCAAUGCAUCGGCAGUUGUCGGCGCCUGGAGGCUUACGGCAGGGAGAGUUUCUCCCUUUUGCCACCU